This is a regulatory RNA element of Natranaerobius thermophilus JW/NM-WN-LF, 131 nucleotides long. It matches the Rfam family "PyrR binding site". Rfam says of the family: This family represents the PyrR binding site and terminator structure. This RNA structure is found upstream of a variety of genes involved in pyrimidine biosynthesis and transport. NCBI's taxonomy places the organism in Bacteria, Bacillati, Bacillota, Clostridia, Natranaerobiales, Natranaerobiaceae. The record is from Rfam.
GUUCCCUUGAAAUUAGUCCCGUGAGGCUAAUAAGGGAGGUGAUGCUAGGCGUAUUGUGUCAAAUUAUGUCCAAUUAGCUUAGUGUAACUUCCUAUUAGCUUCACAAAAUGAAGCAUAGGAAGUUUUUUUAU